Molecule: RNA transcript, 1485 nt
Organism: Arabidopsis lyrata subsp. lyrata
Lineage: Eukaryota; Viridiplantae; Streptophyta; Magnoliopsida; Brassicales; Brassicaceae
Gene name: pre-mRNA-splicing factor CWC24
Exons: 7
Source: RefSeq, a predicted model, not a curated record
UUAUUACCACCUUCGCGUUUUUCUCUCUCUCUUACAACAAAAGAUUCAAAAACCCUAGAUUUCUCAAAAUCGAUUGGCUUUCAAAAUUCUCUCCGGCGAUUUCUCCGAUUGAAAUUCAGCUCACGGUGAUUACCUCGAACGUCGAAUCGAAUUGAUCGAAGAGGUACAAAGGUUAGGUUACUUUGAGCUGAAAGAUGAACUCACAAGAGGUGAGAGUUCCUCGAGGAAAUCGACGGAGGAAAGCUGUGAUUGAUCUGAAUGCUGUACCUGGAGAUCAAGAAGGGACCUCUGCUUCUGUAAGAUCUCCUACGGUGCCUACUACACCGUCUCAGCCUGCUCCUACAAUGAUUGAUGUCGAUGCUAUUGAAGAUGAUGUUAUUGAAUCAUCCGCUAGUGCUUUUGCUGAAGCUAAAAGCAAAUCGAGAAAUGCACGUCGGAGACCUUUGAUGGUUGAUGUAGAGUCAGGAGGUACGACUAGAUUGCCUGCCAACAUAAGCAACAAACGCAGAAGGGUUCCUUCUAGUGAACCUGUCAUCGACUGUGAGCAUGCAUAUGUAAAUGAUGAAGUCAACAUGUCUUCGAGAAUGUCUAGAUCAAAGGCUCCAGCUCCUCCACCAGAAGAGCCAAAGUUUACAUGUCCAAUCUGCAUGUGUCCCUUUACAGAGGAGAUGUCAACUAAGUGCGGUCACAUCUUCUGCAAGGGAUGUAUAAAGAUGGCAAUAUCUCGCCAGGGCAAAUGCCCGACUUGUAGGAAAAAGGUUACUGCGAAAGAGCUGAUCCGAGUAUUCCUUCCAGCCACUAGAUGAGUGGUCCGGCAACAUCACCAGCCACCCUGUCUAAUGGUUUGUCAUACUAUCCUCCUAUUCACUUUGGAACAUUGAAGGGACUUCAUUGACUUCAUAAUUUUGAAUAUUUUGCUUUGGUGGAAGAGAAAUAUUCACUCAUCAAGAAGCCAGAAGGCCCUAUCAUUUGAUGAAUAUCAUUGUAUGCAUCGUCACCUAGUCAUGGAAACACAGUGGAUGCAGCAACAUUGUUAUCACCUGUAGUGUGAGAUCCGUGUACGGGGUUCUGUUUGUUGAGGCCAGCUUUGAGAUGAAAAUGACCAAACCUUCCUUUAUGAAAGGGCCAGCCAUAGUGUGGAAGAUGAAACCAACCCCAGAGUUUCUGGUUAUUGGCAAUGACCUCACUUUGCUCCUCAGGUACAUACCUCCCUCCUUCAGCGCCUGAAAGUAGAAGUGCCAUCAGAAUUAGUGCCAGAAGGAGCUUGGCUUUAGUGUUAUUCUUCUCCAUUGUGAUUUAUAUAUGGUAGUCUAGUUUGAUAUUUUCCUCUUGCUUGGGUGGUGAUACUGAGAAGUGAGAACUGGAUUUUAUAGGCCAAGCUGGUGAUCUCGUGGUUGUUUAGUUUCCUUCUUUGUGAGGGAUAUUGAAUGGUGUAUAGAUUAUAGUUUUUGAUCCUUUUGAAAUGUUGGUCCACAGUUUUAUUAA